RNAcentral lists this ribosomal RNA (460 nucleotides) under uncultured bacterium. RNAcentral describes it as "partial 16S ribosomal RNA". It matches the Rfam family "Bacterial small subunit ribosomal RNA", at positions 338 to 795 of the family's 1533-position model. The record is from RNAcentral.
CCUACGGGUGGCAGCAGUGAGGAAUAUUGGUCAAUGGCCGGAAGGCUGAACCAGCCAUGCCGCGUGAAGGUCAGUGCCCUAUGGGCGUUAAAACCCUUUUGUGCGGGAGCAAUAAUGGUCACGUGUGGCCAGACGAGAGUACCGUACGAAUAAGCAUCGGCUCACUCCGUGCCAGCAGCCGCGGUAAUACGGGGGGUGCAAGCGUUAUCCGGAUUUAUUGGGUUUAAAGGGUGCGUAGGCUGUGAGGUAAGUCAGCGGCGAAAUGCCCCCGCUCAACGGGGUGAAGUGCCAUUGAUACUGCCUUGCUGGAGUGCGGAUGCGGUGGGAGGAAUGUGUGGUGUAGCGGUGAAAUGCGUAGAUAUCACGCAGAACACCGAUUGCGAAGGCAGCUCACGGGUCCGCGAUUGACGCUGAUGCACGAAAGCGUGGGUAUCAAACAGGAUUAGAUACCCUUGUAGUC